AGUGGCGGACGGGUGAGUAACGCGUGAGAAUCUGCCUUCAGGUCGGGGACAACAGAGGGAAACUUCUGCUAAUCCCGGAUGAGCCUUAGGGUAAAAAAUUUAUUGCCUGGAGAUGAGCUCGCGUCUGAUUAGCUAGUUGGUAAGGUAAAAGCUUACCAAGGCAACGAUCAGUAGCUGGUCUGAGAGGAUGAGCAGCCACACUGGGACUGAGACACGGCCCAGACUCCUACGGGAGGCAGCAGUGGGGAAUUUUCCGCAAUGGGCGAAAGCCUGACGGAGCAAGACCGCGUGGGGGAGGAAGGCUCUAGGGUUGUAAACCCCUUUUCUUUGGGAAGAACAAAAUGACGGUACCAAAGGAAUCAGCCUCGGCUAACUCCGUGCCAGCAGCCGCGGUAAUACGGAGGAGGCAAGCGUUAUCCGGAAUGAUUUGGCGUAAAGCGUCCGCAGGUGGCAAUGUAAGUCUGCUGUCAAAACCCAGGGCUCAACUCUGGUCAGGCAGUGGAAACUACAUAGCUAGAGUUCGGUAGGGGCAAAGGGAAUUCCCGGUGUAGCGGUGAAAUGCGUAGAGAUCGGGAAGAACAUCGGUGGCGAAAGCGCUUUGCUAGACCGAAACUGACACUCAGGGACGAAAGCUAGGGGAGCGAAUGGGAUUAGAUACCCC
This 661-nucleotide ribosomal RNA is filed under the name uncultured bacterium. RNAcentral describes it as "bacterial SSU rRNA". It matches the Rfam family "Bacterial small subunit ribosomal RNA", at positions 94 to 788 of the family's 1533-position model. The record is from RNAcentral.